This 972-nucleotide ribosomal RNA is filed under the name Staphylococcus aureus. RNAcentral's name for it is "bacterial SSU rRNA". It matches the Rfam family "Bacterial small subunit ribosomal RNA", at positions 81 to 1036 of the family's 1533-position model. The record is from RNAcentral. Lineage: Bacteria; Bacillati; Bacillota; Bacilli; Caryophanales; Staphylococcaceae.
CUUCUCUGAUGUUAGCGGCGGACGGGUGAGUAACACGUGGAUAACCUACCUAUAAGACUGGGAUAACUUCGGGAAACCGGAGCUAAUACCGGAUAAUAUUUUGAACCGCAUGGUUCAAAAGUGAAAGACGGUCUUGCUGUCACUUAUAGAUGGAUCCGCGCUGCAUUAGCUAGUUGGUAAGGUAACGGCUUACCAAGGCAACGAUGCAUAGCCGACCUGAGAGGGUGAUCGGCCACACUGGAACUGAGACACGGUCCAGACUCCUACGGGAGGCAGCAGUAGGGAAUCUUCCGCAAUGGGCGAAAGCCUGACGGAGCAACGCCGCGUGAGUGAUGAAGGUCUUCGGAUCGUAAAACUCUGUUAUUAGGGAAGAACAUAUGUGUAAGUAACUGUGCACAUCUUGACGGUACCUAAUCAGAAAGCCACGGCUAACUACGUGCCAGCAGCCGCGGUAAUACGUAGGUGGCAAGCGUUAUCCGGAAUUAUUGGGCGUAAAGCGCGCGUAGGCGGUUUUUUAAGUCUGAUGUGAAAGCCCACGGCUCAACCGUGGAGGGUCAUUGGAAACUGGAAAACUUGAGUGCAGAAGAGGAAAGUGGAAUUCCAUGUGUAGCGGUGAAAUGCGCAGAGAUAUGGAGGAACACCAGUGGCGAAGGCGACUUUCUGGUCUGUAACUGACGCUGAUGUGCGAAAGCGUGGGGAUCAAACAGGAUUAGAUACCCUGGUAGUCCACGCCGUAAACGAUGAGUGCUAAGUGUUAGGGGGUUUCCGCCCCUUAGUGCUGCAGCUAACGCAUUAAGCACUCCGCCUGGGGAGUACGACCGCAAGGUUGAAACUCAAAGGAAUUGACGGGGACCCGCACAAGCGGUGGAGCAUGUGGUUUAAUUCGAAGCAACGCGAAGAACCUUACCAAAUCUUGACAUCCUUUUGACAACUCUAGAGAUAGAGCCUUCCCCUUCGGGGGACAAAGUGACA